This is a small nucleolar RNA of Takifugu rubripes (torafugu), 131 nucleotides long. Its record names the gene SNORA63. It matches the Rfam family "Small nucleolar RNA SNORA63". From Rfam's summary of the family: E3 belongs to the H/ACA class of snoRNAs and is involved in the processing of eukaryotic pre-rRNA and has regions of complementarity to 18S rRNA. The record is from Ensembl. Lineage: Eukaryota; Metazoa; Chordata; Actinopteri; Tetraodontiformes; Tetraodontidae.
AUGCAGGAUAAGUUACAGUGCAGCCUGUGUAGUGCUGUGUUGUCGUUCCCCCUGCAAAAAAUGACAUGUUUCCUCGCUAUACCUGUCAAGUCAACUUCCCUAGAUUGACAGGGACGUAAGGUUUCAGACAA